GUCUCAAACGACUCAAAAGCACCUAGUUACAUAAUGACAAAUUAUAACAGACAUGAUAUCUGCAGAAAAUUUCUCAGUUCAUAAAUCAUGAAAUAGGUAAGUUUAAUAUGAGCUACGCAUCCUAGUUGAUUUACUGCAAAAAUAAAAAUGCAUCUAAAUGGAAAAGCAUCAUUGCCAUUAUAACAAAAUGUGGAAAUAAUUAGAUGUCAGUUGGUAGUUGUUUAAGUUGGUAUCAUAACAAGAGAGACAGAUAGAGAUUUAAAAGUUCAUUUAAGCGAAGGGAACCUUAAAUUCACAAAACACAAGCACAUAAAUGCCUGGCUGAAAUUUUGUUUUGAAAAAAAUUUGCAAGAAGAUAUCAGUUCCUUUAGAGCAAUAGGUGGAAUUAAACAAAAACCUUCAUCAAGGCUCAAAUAUCAAACAAAAACCAAGGAAAGCUGUAGCCGUCUUUUAACAGAUUGAAAUCUAAAGAUGCUUCGUAUGUGUAUGCAAUAAAACAAGAUUGUCACAUAUCUCAUGAAAAUAGAAAGAUUAACUGCCAAAAUAUAUGUAUCUUGCAGAGUUAGAUGAUAUUGAUGAAAACAGGGUAAUCAGAAACUUCAAUAACAGACCUGAGCACCAGUGAGCUUAUUAUCCCAGCUAAGCACACCGUAGUAUGGCCCUCCCGAGAAAGCACCAGCAUGCUUGGCCA
RNAcentral lists this unclassified non-coding RNA (691 nucleotides) under Hevea brasiliensis (rubber tree). Lineage: Eukaryota; Viridiplantae; Streptophyta; Magnoliopsida; Malpighiales; Euphorbiaceae. The record is from RNAcentral.